AGAAGUGCUCUGGAAAGGUCUAAUCGAGGAAAAACCCCCAGAUCCGGGGAAAUACAGGCAAAAAGAAACGGGGGCAGGCGAAGAACUUGUUUUGUGCCUGGAUGCCGUCCACCCCCUGGGACAUCCAGAUUU
This is a long non-coding RNA of Eurytemora carolleeae, 132 nucleotides long. RefSeq lists it as uncharacterized. The transcript has 2 exons. NCBI's taxonomy places the organism in Eukaryota, Metazoa, Arthropoda, Copepoda, Calanoida, Temoridae. The record is from RefSeq and is a predicted model, not a curated record.